RNAcentral lists this ribosomal RNA (253 nucleotides) under uncultured bacterium. RNAcentral's name for it is "partial 16S ribosomal RNA". It matches the Rfam family "Bacterial small subunit ribosomal RNA", at positions 524 to 776 of the family's 1533-position model. The record is from RNAcentral.
UACAGGGGGGGCAAGCGUUGUUCGGAAUUACUGGGCGUAAAGGGCUCGUAGGUGGCCAACUAAGUCAGACGUGAAAUCCCUCAGCUUAACUGGGGAACUGCGUCUGAUACUGGAUGGCUUGAGUUUGGGAGAGGGAUGCGGAAUUCCAGGUGUAGCGGUGAAAUGCGUAGAUAUCUGGAGGAACACCGGUGGCGAAAGCGGCGCACUGGACCACAUCUGACGCUGAGGCGCGAAAGCUAGGGGAGCAAACGGG